RNAcentral lists this ribosomal RNA (497 nucleotides) under uncultured bacterium. RNAcentral describes it as "partial 16S ribosomal RNA". It matches the Rfam family "Bacterial small subunit ribosomal RNA", at positions 28 to 507 of the family's 1533-position model. The record is from RNAcentral.
GAUGAACGCUGGCGGCGUGCCUAAUACAUGCAAGUCGAGCGAACAGACGAGGAGCUUGCUCCUCUGACGUUAGCGGCGGACGGGUGAGUAACACGUGGAUAACCUACCUAUAAGACUGGGAUAACUUCGGGAAACCGGAGCUAAUACCGGAUAACAUGUUGAACCGCAUGGUUUAACAGUGAAAGACGGUCUUGCUGUCACUUAUAGAUGGAUCCGCGCCGCAUUAGCUAGUUGGUAAGGUAACGGCUUACCAAGGCAACGAUGCGUAGCCGACCUGAGAGGGUGAUCGGCCACACUGGAACUGAGACACGGUCCAGACUCCUACGGGAGGCAGCAGUAGGGAAUCUUCCGCAAUGGGCGAAAGCCUGACGGAGCAACGCCGCGUGAGUGAAGAAGGUCUUCGGAUCGUAAAACUCUGUUAUUAGGGAAGAACAAAUGUGUAAGUAACUAUGCACGUCUUGACGGUACCCAAUCAGAAAGCCACGGCUAACUACGUG